Molecule: ribosomal RNA, 403 nt
Filed under: bacterium
Lineage: Bacteria
Description: partial 16S ribosomal RNA
Rfam family: Bacterial small subunit ribosomal RNA
Source: RNAcentral
UGGGGAAUAUUGCACAAUGGAGGAAACUCUGAUGCAGCGACGCCGCGUGAACGAAGAAGGCUUUCGAGUCGUAAAGUUCUUUUAUAUGGGAAGAUAAUGACGGUACCAUAAGAAAAAGCCCCGGCUAACUACGUGCCAGCAGCCGCGGUAAUACGUAGGGGGCUAGCGUUGUCCGGAAUCACUGGGCGUAAAGGGUUCGCAGGCGGAAAUGCAAGUCAGGUGUAAAAGGCAGUAGCUUAACUACUGUAAGCAUUUGAAACUGCAUAUCUUGAGAAGAGUAGAGGUAAGUGGAAUUUUUAGUGUAGCGGUGAAAUGCGUAGAUAUUAAAAAGAAUACCGGUGGCGAAGGCGACUUACUGGGCUCAUUCUGACGCUGAGGAACGAAAGCGUGGGUAGCAAACAGG